GAAGUUCCUAGAACUAUACUAGUGUACGAUAUAGAGAGGAUUUAUCGUAUAGUUCUUAAACAAGUUCGCGACUAAAUGAUAGUCAUUACGGGAUGAUGACGUUUAUCGAGUGAAGGCCGUUGUAUGCCAUAUGGGUUGGUUGUCCUCUUAACCAAGGAGUGUAGUGAUACUGGUAUGGUAUACAGGUGAGAUGUAAGGGUACAUCAUCACUGAACAAGUGACUCACCUGCUGAGCAUUCUGCUGUCAAGAGCUGCAUGC
RNAcentral lists this long non-coding RNA (259 nucleotides) under Elaeis guineensis (African oil palm). Its description in RNAcentral is "long non-coding RNA (EGUI_LNC024319)". Lineage: Eukaryota; Viridiplantae; Streptophyta; Magnoliopsida; Arecales; Arecaceae. The record is from RNAcentral.